Rhinolophus ferrumequinum (greater horseshoe bat) is the source of this 522-nucleotide long non-coding RNA. RefSeq lists it as uncharacterized. The record is from RefSeq and is a predicted model, not a curated record. Lineage: Eukaryota; Metazoa; Chordata; Mammalia; Chiroptera; Rhinolophidae. The transcript has 3 exons.
CAUAGCCCUAGAAAACCUGAAACCCAGCAGCUCUCCACACUCCAGUAAUAUUGGGUAAAUGAAAGACUGGAUCAGCAAAUUUACCAGACAGACCCAUGAGCUCAUCAUACAGAGCUCGGAGCCCCAUAUGCCACCCUGGGGAUCCCUGCCAAGACACCCAACAUUGCAAGAGUAUAGAUGUCGUGGGAGACAGCCAUUGUCCUGACUCUCACCAUGGAUCAACGUGCUAUGCUGCUGAGAACACCAAGCCUCGGCACACCUAGGAAAGGAGUUUUCUACCGGAGUUUGCAAAGGGAUAUCCGGCUGGGAUGGACUAUUUCAAGGUUGUGAUCCCUCCCUGCGACCGUGACACAGAACCACUAUGGCUCAAAGAUUCUACCUGCUAAGUUGGCUGCUGUUUCUCCUCAUGGCUUGUUGGAAGCAGAGGCAGCAUAACACAUCACACUGCAUUGCUUGUCUUGCCUUUUUCUUCACUUUUACCUUCCUAAGCUUGUACCCUCCCCACACCCACAUAAAAAGAAU